Molecule: ribosomal RNA, 789 nt
Filed under: uncultured archaeon
Lineage: Archaea
Description: bacterial SSU rRNA
Rfam family: Archaeal small subunit ribosomal RNA
Source: RNAcentral
ACGGCUCAGUAACACGUGGAUAACCUGCCCUAUGGUGGAGAAUAACCCCGGGAAACUGGGGAUAAUACUCCAUAGAUUAGAGAUACUGGAAUGUUCUUUAAUCGAAAGUUGAGGCGCCAUAGGAUGGAUCUGCGGUCGAUUAGGUUGUUGUUGGGGUAACGGCCCAACAAGCCUGUAAUCGAUACGGGUUGUGGGAGCAAGAGCCCGGAGAUGGAAUCUGAGACACGAUUCCAGGCCCUACGGGGCGCAGCAGGCGCGAAAACUUUACAAUGCAGGAAACUGUGAUAAGGGAACCCCGAGUGCCCGUAUACGCGGGCUGUCCAGGUGUCUAAAAAGCAUCUGAAGAAAGGGCCGGGCAAGACCGGUGCCAGCCGCCGCGGUAAUACCGGCGGCUCGAGUGGUGGCCACUAUUAUUGGGCUUAAAGCGUCCGUAGCUGGACUCUUAAGUCUCUUGGGAAAUCCGCCGGCUUAACCGACGGGCGUCUAAGAGAUACUGAGAGUCUAGGGACCGGGAGAGGUGAGAGGUACUCCGGGGGUAGGAGUGAAAUCCUGUAAUCCCUGGGGGACCACCGAUGGCGAAGGCAUCUCACCAGAACGGCUCCGACAGUGAGGGACGAAAGCUGGGGGAGCGAACCGGAUUAGAUACCCGGGUAGUCCCAGCCGUAAACUAUGCGCGUUAGGUGUACUGGUGACCACGAGUCACUGGGGUGCCGAAGGGAAACCGUGAAACGUGCCGCCUGGGAAGUACGGUCGCAAGGCUGAAACUUAAAGGAAUUGGCGGGGGAGCAC